UAUUAUUUAGUUUCCUCCUCUUGGUUUAGUGUGCUGUUCAUUUUCAUUAUGGCAUCUGUGCGUGCGGUGUUGGAGGACAGAUGACUAGUCGCACUUUCACCUGCCACCGUCCUAUAUACAGUCUGCAGCAUGCAUUUUACUGAAGGCCGUUUCACUGAUGCAUCAGCGGAGGCAAUGGUAUCAGAAGUCUGGAGCUGAGGAGCAAUGCCAUCAGCGGUGCUGAAACACAUAUGCAUCAGCCCUCAUGGAGUCAAGUGCACCUGCCUCGCUUAGCAGAUCUGCCAAAAGAUCCUCAUGGAUGGAUGAGGCAAUCGGCCUUUGUCGGUUAAUAGUUUAACACAGGACAUAAAUGUGAAACCAGCACAGAAGUCUUGGUUCACGGUUUUCAGGUUAAGAUCUUUAUUAAUGAAGGCAAAGCUAGAUCAGUCCACAAAUUAAUAUUAUCCUCGGCCAAAGACAUACUCAGUCACAUUUGUCUAUUUGUAAGAUAUCUAUCUGUGUGUAUUUUCAUGUGGAGCCAGUAAAUGUUAUGUAAAAUAUGUUUUAUCAAUAAAAUCUUGAGAAUUUUA
Molecule: long non-coding RNA, 569 nt
Organism: Micropterus dolomieu (smallmouth bass)
Lineage: Eukaryota; Metazoa; Chordata; Actinopteri; Centrarchiformes; Centrarchidae
Exons: 2
Source: RefSeq, a predicted model, not a curated record